AGUCCACCUUUCAAGUAACUACACUUAAAACAUUUUCGACUCACUAAUGCACUUCUCAAGUGACCACACUUAACUAUAUUCAAAACACAAGUUCACAUUUCCAGUACCUACACUUAAACAUUUUCAAGUCACUAACUCACUUCUCAAGUGACCACACUUGACUAUAUUCAAAACACAAGUCCACCUUUCAAGUAACUACACUUAAACAUUUUCGACUCACUAAUGCACUUCUCAAGUGACCACACUUCUCAAGUGACCACACUUGACUAUAUUCAAAACACAAGUCCACCUUUCAAGUCACUACACUUAACCAUUUUCAAAUAACUAACUCACUUUGUAAGUCACUACACUUAACCAUUUUCAAAUAAUUAAUUCACAUUUCAAAUCAUUAUACUUAACAAUUUUCAUGUAACUACUCCACAUUUCAAAUAAUUAUACUUAAUCAUUUCCAAGUCACUACACGUAAUCAUUCAUUUCAAGUCACUAUACUUAACCACUUUCAAGUAACUAAUUCACAUUUCAAGUAACUACACUUAACUAUUUUCAAGCCACUAGUUUACAAUUUCAAGUAACUACACUUAACCGUUUUCAAGUCACAAGUUUGCAAUUUCAAAUAACUACACUUAAUCAUUUUCAAGUCACUACACUUAAUAAUUUUCAAAUAACUUCUUCACAUUUCAUGUUACUUACCAUGUUCAAAUAGCUAAUUGGCAUUUCAAGUCACUAUAACCAUUUUCAACUCUCUAAUUCACAUUUCAAGUGACUAAACCUAACUAUGUUCAUGUCAUGAAUUCACAUUUCAACACUAAAUCAAUUUCAAGUCAUAAAUUCACAUUUUCAAGUGAUUACACUUACAAAUUUCAAAACACAAGUUCACCUUCAAGUAACUACACAAAACAAUUUUCAAGUCGCUAAUCCACUUCUCAAGUGACUUGAGCAUGUGCUUGGAGAAAAACAGAGCCAAUGAGGAAAUUAUGGACAAUGUUUCUAUUCCUAGUUCAUGGAUACUUGGAGAUUUAGUUGUGGAUCCAGGAAAUUAUGGACAAUGUUUCUAUUCAAGUCGUUCACCUAUUGUUUCAAUUUCACCUCUGUUAUACUUCAUCAAGUACAGAACUACUAACAUGAUCACUCACUUACCAACUCUAACCAAUCAAUAACCGUCUGGAAAUAAUUCAAACUCACUAAUAUGGUCGGUCACAUUCCAAACAAAGAAAUUCACCUAACAAAAAGCAUUCAUCCUAAGAAAUCAGUUUUACGUAACAGGGCAUAGAAUAUUCCUAACAAAAAAAAUCAUAAACCAAAGACUUUGUUAAGUUUGUCGUGUAUUGUAACAAACCGAAAUAUAAGUGAUCAAAGCUAUUGCAACUCGCACUAGAGCAGGGAAGCAGUAGAACCCGAAUAUGGGUACGAAACAUCAGGAAAAUAAUCAAGUCAUAUCAAGUAAUUUACAAGAAGCAAAAAUAUGGAAAUACCAUCUAAUUUAUCUACAGCAUUGACGGUGGCUGGAGGAGCUGGUAGCCGGAGGGACCGUUUGGUUGGUCGCCGUUGUUUUUGUUAUUGAGGCGGUUGGCGACGGAGUCGAGGCAGCGGCGGAGGAUGCAUGUGACGAAGAGAAGAUCUGGUGUUUGGUUCGGGUUUGUCGGUGGACUGCCUGACGGCGGCAUCUAUGGUGGUGACGAUGACGACGAGGGAAAGGCGGCGGUGGCGGCUGAUGGUCGUUUCACCGGUUCUGGUCGGUUUGCCGCUGUGGAUGGCGGUGGCGAUGGGUUCGCCGGACGGAGAGAUGGAGAAAGAAAGGAAGGCAGUUGGUGGUUCACCUACGGCUAAUUUAGCCGGUGGAGGCUCACCGGAGAAAGGGUGUUAGAUGGUGGUGGUUGGCUGACCUUUAUAGAGAGAAAAAAGGAGAGGAAGGAGAGGGGUAGGCGGCCAUUUUGUUGAAAAGGAGGGAUUAG
This 1952-nucleotide long non-coding RNA is filed under the name Capsicum annuum. Its description in RNAcentral is "long non-coding RNA (CANN_LNC010857)". The record is from RNAcentral. Lineage: Eukaryota; Viridiplantae; Streptophyta; Magnoliopsida; Solanales; Solanaceae.